This 956-nucleotide long non-coding RNA is filed under the name Vombatus ursinus (common wombat). RNAcentral describes it as "lncRNA (ENSVURG00010024579.1)". The record is from RNAcentral. Lineage: Eukaryota; Metazoa; Chordata; Mammalia; Diprotodontia; Vombatidae.
GGCCCGGGCAGGCUCAGCCCCAGGACUCCUCUGUCGCUAGCGGUCUGGGGCAAACUGGAGCAGAGCGGGUCCCGGAGACAUAUGGCAUGUCGGCGAGGACCCGUGCCAACUCUCCACAUUCUUCGGUGGCAGCCUCUGCCAUCUGACGGCUGGGCCCCUGGGCUCAGUUUCCCCCCUUGGGCUCAGGCCCCUGAGGAGAGGCCCUUGGCACAGCUGAGGCCGGCCUGACCUUGAGGCCCUCAUUCCCCCUUCGCCAGCAUUUGGGGGUUCAGGGAGGCCUGAAAUGACCACCAACUCGUGGGGCAGCUUUCCCCAGGGGCUGAGCCAAGCCAGUCUCCUCAAGAGCUUAUUUUGGGGUGUCCUCCACCACCAGACCUGGGGGGCCCCAAACCUUGCCUGCCCCCAUUUAGUGAACAAGACUGCUUCUCUUCAGCUCGGCGACCUCGGACCAGCGUUUCCUUGUCCGCUCCUUUGAAGGAAAUGUUUGCGCAUCAAGCAUUUUCCCACAGCAGGGAGACAAUGUCCUGGCCUUUGCCAAAGAUCACAUGCUCUUGUCCUCAUCAUUCCUGUCGUCUGAAGGGCCAAAAUUUCUGGGCUAGAAUAGCUUCCUGAGCACAGAGUGAUUCGGGCACGAAGUGGGAAAACACCGGAAAAGGGAUCUCUGCUCCUGGGUCCCUGGCUUGCCUUGCCCUCCCCCUCCUCCUGCACACUGGGUCCUUGUCCAGGUCCUGCCAAUGGCCCCUCCCUUUGGAACUCACUUCAAAUGGAACCUUGUCUGCCCAUCAGGAAUCAUUAUUGCAAAGAAGCCCAGAGCCUUCAGGCUGUCCCUCCCAGGAUGGAACUGCUCUGCUCUGACCCUCUAAGGCCUCACGACCAGGCCUGGCCCUCGGUGGGCCUCUGUUUCCUCAUCUAUAAAACACUGACUCUAUUAGUCUCAGCCCCCAGGGAUAAUUGUG